AUUAAACGCUGGCGGCAUGCCUUACACAUGCAAGUCGAACGGCAGCACGGGGGCAACCCUGGUGGCGAGUGGCGGACGGGUGAGUAAAGCAUCGGAACGUAUCCUGGAGUGGGGGAUAACGUAGCGAAAGUUACGCUAAUACCGCAUAUUCUGUGAGCAGGAAAGCAGGGGAUCGCAAGACCUUGCGCUCUGGGAGCGGCCGAUGUCGGAUUAGCUAGUUGGUGGGGUAAAGGCCUACCAAGGCGACGAUCCGUAGCGGGUCUGAGAGGAUGAUCCGCCACACUGGGACUGAGACACGGCCCAGACUCCUACGGGAGGCGGCAGUGGGGAAUUUUGGACAAUGGGCGGAAGCCUGAUCCAGCCAUGCCGCGUGAGUGAAGAAGGCC
Molecule: ribosomal RNA, 386 nt
Filed under: uncultured bacterium
Lineage: Bacteria
Description: bacterial SSU rRNA
Rfam family: Bacterial small subunit ribosomal RNA
Source: RNAcentral